GAUGAACGCUGGCGGCGUGCCUAAUACAUGCAAGUCGAGCGACCGGACGAUAAGCUUGCUUUUCUGAUGUUAGCGGCUGACGGGUGAGUAACACGUGGAUAACCUACCUAUAUGACUGGGAUAACUUCGGGAAACCGGAGCUAAUACCGGAUAAUAUUUUGAACCGCAUGGUUCAAAAGUGAAAGACGGUCUUGCUGUCACUUAUAGAUGGAUCCGCGCUGCAUUAGCUAGUUGGUAAGGUAACGGCUUACCAAGGCAACGAUGCAUAGCCGACCUGAGAGGGUGAUCGGCCACACUGGAACUGAGACACGGUCCAGACUCCUACGGGAGGCAGCAGUAGGGAAUAUUCCGCAAUGGGCGAAAGCCUGACGGAGCAACGCCGCGUGAGUGAUGAAGGUCUUCGGAUCGUAAAACUCUGUUAUUAGGGAAGAACAGAUGUGGAAGUAACUGUGCACAUCUUGACGGUACCUAAUCAGAAAGCCACGGCUAACUACGUG
Molecule: ribosomal RNA, 497 nt
Filed under: uncultured bacterium
Lineage: Bacteria
Description: partial 16S ribosomal RNA
Rfam family: Bacterial small subunit ribosomal RNA
Source: RNAcentral